AACGCACAUUGCGCCCUUUGGUAUUCCGAAGGGCAUGCCUGUUCGAGCGUCAUUAUCACAGCUCAAACCCUGGGUUUGGUGUUGGACCGACGUUGGGUCGACCAACUGGUCUGAAAGACAAUGACGGCGUCCGUGGGACCCUCAGUGCAACGAGCUUUCACAAGCACGCAUUGAGUUGCAAGGACCCUCCGGGCCGGUCUACUGUAACAUUUUCUUAAAGUUGACCUCGGAUCAGGUAGGAAUACCCGCUGAACUUAA
Molecule: unclassified non-coding RNA, 258 nt
Filed under: uncultured Ascomycota
Lineage: Eukaryota; Fungi; Ascomycota
Description: sequence contains ITS2
Rfam family: 5.8S ribosomal RNA (bases 1-52)
Source: RNAcentral